CUGGGAACAUGGCUGCAGACAUGGCCCUAGUGCUCAUUGCGGGGCUGAAGUUGCAGCCUGGAUGUUGCACAGGGCACUCACUGGCAGGACGAGGAGCCGUGAUGGUUCUGUGCCACCAAAUUUUACACUGGGUACCCAGACCUCAUUAACAGGAGUGAGAUGAUUGUGUGUGAGUGGGGGGCCCACCUCUGAGCCAUGCUCCCCUGCUUGUAUAUUCAGCUGUGGACUCACACGUUAAGCUCCCCCUCCACUGGAGCCCAAGCACCAUCCCUGCUGCCUUCUGAGCAGGAGGAAGGGCCAGCGCUGUGUCCUCAAUUCCUUGGACUCCCAGGGGUUCCUCCAACACCAGAACAUGGGCACAAGGCACACCAGUGCCCUACUACCCCAGUGCAUCACCAGCAGCCUCGCCCCCCAUGGCCGCCAGCACUCCCCAUCCCCUUGCAGCCCCUCACCCCUUGCAGCUCUCUGACAGCAGCCUCCUGCCGCAGAGCAGCCUCCAGGAGCAGAUGGAGGCAGGAUGGAGCCCGCCGGAGAUACUGACCACAUCUGCUCCUGCCUGGUCCAGGGAGCAGCGAUGCACUGUGCCGACCACUAUCUGGAGCACACGUUUGGGGAUGGAGGACAGUGCAGUGACUGCUGAUCCAAGCAGUGUUCCAGCGCCUUCAGGAGGUGGCAAGAGAAGACACAGGAGGCUGGGGACACAAGGGGUUGGAGUCACAAGAGAGCCUCUCAGGGCAGAUGGAAGGAGAACGCCUCCGCUGUGGUCAGUCCCUGAAGACAAAGUGGAUGCUGCUGGCACACUGGAAUGACGGCACGGGUUUGCUGACGGUUUUGCAUGGGAGCAUCGGUUGGGUUUACACCUACAAGUGCUUGGCUAUGGCAGCGGGGCAUCCCAUGGAAAGGCCAAAAAGCAGCAGAGAGAUCCAGGGAAGGAGGAGAUGGCACACGCUGCAAGCCUGUUCUCUGUCAGCGACGCUGCUGGGAGCACGGACACCCAUAGUGGAGCCAGCAGCUGAGGACAGCUCACAGGAGAGGAAAAAAAUGGAGCCAAGGAUGGCACUGUCUCUUUAAAAAUAAAUAAAUAGAUAAAGACUAAAAAAAAAAAAAAGAAAGAAAAAAUGCAAUAAGUAUAUGCAAAUGUGUUGAGCCGAACAUCGCUGUCUGUGAAACAGAUGAGGGAGAAAGUGCUUGAAGCUAGAGAGGAAUGAGGCAGCCAGCGCUGACCCCGGGGUUAAUAAUUUUUACUUCUCCAUCUCAUUCCCUCCAUAAAAAAG
Long non-coding RNA from Gallus gallus (chicken), 1274 nucleotides. The record is from Ensembl. Lineage: Eukaryota; Metazoa; Chordata; Aves; Galliformes; Phasianidae.